RNAcentral lists this unclassified non-coding RNA (2313 nucleotides) under Homo sapiens (human). RNAcentral describes it as "transient receptor potential cation channel subfamily V member 6 (ENSG00000276971.2)". Lineage: Eukaryota; Metazoa; Chordata; Mammalia; Primates; Hominidae. The record is from RNAcentral.
CUCGUCAGGAAGGCAGGAGACAGGAGACGGGACCUCUACAGGGAGACGGUGGGCCGGCCCUUGGGGGGGCUGAUGUGGCCCCAAGGCUGAGUCCCGUCAGGGUCUGGCCUCGGCCUCAGGCCCCCAAGGAGCCGGCCCUACACCCCAUGGGUUUGUCACUGCCCAAGGAGAAAGGGCUAAUUCUCUGCCUAUGGAGCAAGUUCUGCAGAUGGUUCCAGGACUCCCUGGGAAACACAGUGUUACACAUCCUCAUCCUCCAGCCCAACAAAACCUUUGCCUGCCAGAUGUACAACCUGUUGCUGUCCUACGACAGACAUGGGGACCACCUGCAGCCCCUGGACCUCGUGCCCAAUCACCAGGGUCUCACCCCUUUCAAGCUGGCUGGAGUGGAGGGUAACACUGUGAUGUUUCAGCACCUGAUGCAGAAGCGGAAGCACACCCAGUGGACGUAUGGACCACUGACCUCGACUCUCUAUGACCUCACAGAGAUCGACUCCUCAGGGGAUGAGCAGUCCCUGCUGGAACUUAUCAUCACCACCAAGAAGCGGGAGGCUCGCCAGAUCCUGGACCAGACGCCGGUGAAGGAGCUGGUGAGCCUCAAGUGGAAGCGGUACGGGCGGCCGUACUUCUGCAUGCUGGGUGCCAUAUAUCUGCUGUACAUCAUCUGCUUCACCAUGUGCUGCAUCUACCGCCCCCUCAAGCCCAGGACCAAUAACCGCACAAGCCCCCGGGACAACACCCUCUUACAGCAGAAGCUACUUCAGGAAGCCUACGUGACCCCUAAGGACGAUAUCCGGCUGGUCGGGGAGCUGGUGACUGUCAUUGGGGCUAUCAUCAUCCUGCUGGUAGAGGUUCCAGACAUCUUCAGAAUGGGGGUCACUCGCUUCUUUGGACAGACCAUCCUUGGGGGCCCAUUCCAUGUCCUCAUCAUCACCUAUGCCUUCAUGGUGCUGGUGACCAUGGUGAUGCGGCUCAUCAGUGCCAGCGGGGAGGUGGUACCCAUGUCCUUUGCACUCGUGCUGGGCUGGUGCAACGUCAUGUACUUCGCCCGAGGAUUCCAGAUGCUAGGCCCCUUCACCAUCAUGAUUCAGAAGAUGAUUUUUGGCGACCUGAUGCGAUUCUGCUGGCUGAUGGCUGUGGUCAUCCUGGGCUUUGCUUCAGCCUUCUAUAUCAUCUUCCAGACAGAGGACCCCGAGGAGCUAGGCCACUUCUACGACUACCCCAUGGCCCUGUUCAGCACCUUCGAGCUGUUCCUUACCAUCAUCGAUGGCCCAGCCAACUACAACGUGGACCUGCCCUUCAUGUACAGCAUCACCUAUGCUGCCUUUGCCAUCAUCGCCACACUGCUCAUGCUCAACCUCCUCAUUGCCAUGAUGGGCGACACUCACUGGCGAGUGGCCCAUGAGCGGGAUGAGCUGUGGAGGGCCCAGGUUGUGGCCACCACGGUGAUGCUGGAGCGGAAGCUGCCUCGCUGCCUGUGGCCUCGCUCCGGGAUCUGCGGACGGGAGUAUGGCCUGGGGGACCGCUGGUUCCUGCGGGUGGAAGACAGGCAAGAUCUCAACCGGCAGCGGAUCCAACGCUACGCACAGGCCUUCCACACCCGGGGCUCUGAGGAUUUGGACAAAGACUCAGUGGAAAAACUAGAGCUGGGCUGUCCCUUCAGCCCCCACCUGUCCCUUCCUACGCCCUCAGUGUCUCGAAGUACCUCCCGCAGCAGUGCCAAUUGGGAAAGGCUUCGGCAAGGGACCCUGAGGAGAGACCUGCGUGGGAUAAUCAACAGGGGUCUGGAGGACGGGGAGAGCUGGGAAUAUCAGAUCUGACUGCGUGUUCUCACUUCGCUUCCUGGAACUUGCUCUCAUUUUCCUGGGUGCAUCAAACAAAACAAAAACCAAACACCCAGAGGUCUCAUCUCCCAGCCCCAGGGGAGAAAGAGGAGUAGCAUGAACGCCAAGGAAUGUACGUUGAGAAUCACUGCUCCAGGCCUGCAUUACUCCUUCAGCUCUGGGGCAGAGGAAGCCCAGCCCAAGCACGGGGCUGGCAGGGCGUGAGGAACUCUCCUGUGGCCUGCUCAUCACCCUUCCGACAGGAGCACUGCAUGUCAGAGCACUUUAAAAACAGGCCAGCCUGCUUGGGCGCUCGGUCUCCACCCCAGGGUCAUAAGUGGGGAGAGAGCCCUUCCCAGGGCACCCAGGCAGGUGCAGGGAAGUGCAGAGCUUGUGGAAAGCGUGUGAGUGAGGGAGACAGGAACGGCUCUGGGGGUGGGAAGUGGGGCUAGGUCUUGCCAACUCCAUCUUCAAUAAAGUCGUUUUCGGA